GGUUAAGCGACUAAGCGUACACGGUGGAUGCCCUGGCAGUCAGAGGCGAUGAAGGACGUGCUAAUCUGCGAUAAGCGUCGGUAAGGUGAUAUGAACCGUUAUAACCGGCGAUUUCCGAAUGGGGAAACCCAGUGUGUUUCGACACACUAUCAUUAACUGAAUCCAUAGGUUAAUGAGGCGAACCGGGGGAACUGAAACAUCUAAGUACCCCGAGGAAAAGAAAUCAACCGAGAUUCCCCCAGUAGCGGCGAGCGAACGGGGAGCAGCCCAGAGCCUGAAUCAGUGUGUGUGUUAGUGGAAGCGUCUGGAAAGGCGCGCGAUACAGGGUGACAGCCCCGUACACAAAAAUGCACAUACUGUGAGCUCGAUGAGUAGGGCGGGACACGUGGUAUCCUGUCUGAAUAUGGGGGGACCAUCCUCCAAGGCUAAAUACUCCUGACUGACCGAUAGUGAACCAGUACCGUGAGGGAAAGGCGAAAAGAACCCCGGCGAGGGGAGUGAAAAAGAACCUGAAACCGUGUACGUACAAGCAGUGGGAGCACAGAGCAAUCUGUGUGACUGCGUACCUUUUGUAUAAUGGGUCAGCGACUUAUAUUCUGUAGCAAGGUUAACCGAAUAGGGGAGCCGAAGGGAAACCGAGUCUUAACUGGGCGUUAAGUUGCAGGGUAUAGACCCGAAACCCGGUGAUCUAGCCAUGGGCAGGUUGAAGGUUGGGUAACACUAACUGGAGGACCGAACCGACUAAUGUUGAAAAAUUAGCGGAUGACUUGUGGCUGGGGGUGAAAGGCCAAUCAAACCGGGAGAUAGCUGGUUCUCCCCGAAAGCUAUUUAGGUAGCGCCUCGUGAAUUCAUCUCCGGGGGUAGAGCACUGUUUCGGCAAGGGGGUCAUCCCGACUUACCAACCCGAUGCAAACUGCGAAUACCGGAGAAUGUUAUCACGGGAGACACACGGCGGGUGCUAACGUCCGUCGUGAAGAGGGAAACAACCCAGACCGCCAGCUAAGGUCCCAAAGUCAUGGUUAAGUGGGAAACGAUGUGGGAAGGCCCAGACAGCCAGGAUGUUGGCUUAGAAGCAGCCAUCAUUUAAAGAAAGCGUAAUAGCUCACUGGUCGAGUCGGCCUGCGCGGAAGAUGUAACGGGGCUAAACCAUGCACCGAAGCUGCGGCAGCGACGCUUAUGCGUUGUUGGGUAGGGGAGCGUUCUGUAAGCCUGCGAAGGUGUGCUGUGAGGCAUGCUGGAGGUAUCAGAAGUGCGAAUGCUGACAUAAGUAACGAUAAAGCGGGUGAAAAGCCCGCUCGCCGGAAGACCAAGGGUUCCUGUCCAACGUUAAUCGGGGCAGGGUGAGUCGACCCCUAAGGCGAGGCCGAAAGGCGUAGUCGAUGGGAAACAGGUUAAUAUUCCUGUACUUGGUGUUACUGCGAAGGGGGGACGGAGAAGGCUAUGUUGGCCGGGCGACGGUUGUCCCGGUUUAAGCGUGUAGGCUGGUUUUCCAGGCAAAUCCGGAAAAUCAAGGCUGAGGCGUGAUGACGAGGCACUACGGUGCUGAAGCAACAAAUGCCCUGCUUCCAGGAAAAGCCUCUAAGCAUCAGGUAACAUCAAAUCGUACCCCAAACCGACACAGGUGGUCAGGUAGAGAAUACCAAGGCGCUUGAGAGAACUCGGGUGAAGGAACUAGGCAAAAUGGUGCCGUAACUUCGGGAGAAGGCACGCUGAUAUGUAGGUGAAGCGACUUGCUCGUGGAGCUGAAAUCAGUCGAAGAUACCAGCUGGCUGCAACUGUUUAUUAAAAACACAGCACUGUGCAAACACGAAAGUGGACGUAUACGGUGUGACGCCUGCCCGGUGCCGGAAGGUUAAUUGAUGGGGUCAGCGCAAGCGAAGCUCUUGAUCGAAGCCCCGGUAAACGGCGGCCGUAACUAUAACGGUCCUAAGGUAGCGAAAUUCCUUGUCGGGUAAGUUCCGACCUGCACGAAUGGCGUAAUGAUGGCCAGGCUGUCUCCACCCGAGACUCAGUGAAAUUGAACUCGCUGUGAAGAUGCAGUGUACCCGCGGCAAGACGGAAAGACCCCGUGAACCUUUACUAUAGCUUGACACUGAACAUUGAGCCUUGAUGUGUAGGAUAGGUGGGAGGCUUAGAAGUGUGGACGCCAGUCUGCAUGGAGCCGACCUUGAAAUACCACCCUUUAAUGUUUGAUGUUCUAACGUUGACCCGUAAUCCGGGUUGCGGACAGUGUCUGGUGGGUAGUUUGACUGGGGCGGUCUCCUCCUAAAGAGUAACGGAGGAGCACGAAGGUUGGCUAAUCCUGGUCGGACAUCAGGAGGUUAGUGCAAUGGCAUAAGCCAGCUUGACUGCGAGCGUGACGGCGCGAGCAGGUGCGAAAGCAGGUCAUAGUGAUCCGGUGGUUCUGAAUGGAAGGGCCAUCGCUCAACGGAUAAAAGGUACUCCGGGGAUAACAGGCUGAUACCGCCCAAGAGUUCAUAUCGACGGCGGUGUUUGGCACCUCGAUGUCGGCUCAUCACAUCCUGGGGCUGAAGUAGGUCCCAAGGGUAUGGCUGUUCGCCAUUUAAAGUGGUACGCGAGCUGGGUUUAGAACGUCGUGAGACAGUUCGGUCCCUAUCUGCCGUGGGCGCUGGAGAACUGAGGGGGGCUGCUCCUAGUACGAGAGGACCGGAGUGGACGCAUCACUGGUGUUCGGGUUGUCAUGCCAAUGGCACUGCCCGGUAGCUAAAUGCGGAAGAGAUAAGUGCUGAAAGCAUCUAAGCACGAAACUUGCCCCGAGAUGAGUUCUCCCUGACUCCUUGAGAGUCCUGAAGGAACGUUGAAGACGACGACGUUGAUAGGCCGGGUGUGUAAGCGCAGCGAUGCGUUGAGCUAACCGGUACUAAUGAACCGUGAGGCUUAACCUU
RNAcentral lists this ribosomal RNA (2906 nucleotides) under Escherichia coli. RNAcentral describes it as "23S ribosomal RNA". It matches the Rfam family "Bacterial large subunit ribosomal RNA". The record is from RNAcentral. Lineage: Bacteria; Pseudomonadati; Pseudomonadota; Gammaproteobacteria; Enterobacterales; Enterobacteriaceae.